This 497-nucleotide ribosomal RNA is filed under the name uncultured bacterium. RNAcentral's name for it is "partial 16S ribosomal RNA". It matches the Rfam family "Bacterial small subunit ribosomal RNA", at positions 28 to 507 of the family's 1533-position model. The record is from RNAcentral.
GAUGAACGCUGGCGGCGUGCCUAAUACAUGCAAGUCGAGCGAACGGACGAGAAGCUUGCUUCUCUGAUGUUAGCGGCGGACGGGUGAGUAACACGUGGAUAACCUACCUAUAAGACUGGGAUAACUUCGGGAAACCGGAGCUAAUACCGGAUAAUAUUUUGAACCGCAUGGUUCAAAAGUGAAAGACGGUCUUGCUGUCACUUAUAGAUGGAUCCGCGCUGCAUUAGCUAGUUGGUAAGGUAACGGCUUACCAAGGCAACGAUGCAUAGCCGACCUGAGAGGGGGAUCGGCCACACUGGAACGGAGACACGGUCCAGACUCCUACGGGAGGCAGCAGUAGGGAAUCGUCCGCAAUGGGCGAAAGCCUGACGGAGCAACGCCGCGUGAGUGAUGAAGGUCUUCGGAUCGUAAAACUCUGUUAUUAGGGAAGAACAUAUGUGUAAGUAACUGUGCACAUCUUGACGGUACCUAAUCAGAAAGCCACGGCUAACUACGUG